Long non-coding RNA from Myotis myotis, 2470 nucleotides. RefSeq lists it as uncharacterized. The transcript is spliced from 5 exons. NCBI's taxonomy places the organism in Eukaryota, Metazoa, Chordata, Mammalia, Chiroptera, Vespertilionidae. The record is from RefSeq and is a predicted model, not a curated record.
GGCCAGGAACGGAUGCUGCUGUUGCUAUGGCGACUUAUAUUUGCACCGUUUUAAUAACCUCGCCCGACGCAGGCGAUCAGACGCGCCGGGGCACCUCCCCGUCACUGAGCUCCAACCCAUACGUGACGGCGCGCGAUGCCGUGGGCGCCGAGGCGUGAAGAAGUGAAAAGCAAAGAGAAAUAAGUCAUCGGGAGCCGGAACGCCACCCCUGUUUGAGGGGGGAGCAGAGGCACAUCCGGGGUGGCCUUGAGGGUGGGAAGGCGUGGUUCUCACGGACGGAGCGGGGAAACGACGCUGCCCGAGAAGUACCUUCGAGGCCCCUGUUUCUCUCGCCCAGAGGAAAACCCCGCUGCUGGCCACCGAAGAAGACAGAACGGGCGCGUCCUCACCGCCGCCGCCGUCGGACACCCGACCGCUGCACUCAGACAAAGCCGCCCCCCUCCGUCGUGAGUCAAGCUGUGCCGAGGACCGGGGUCGAGGGAGGUCGCUAUUCUCAGAGGGUGCCCGUCGGUGUAUCUUAUCUUCCUUUGAUAAAGGCUCGGAGGGAUCAAAGGGACUGCACGCCGACUUCCGCGCGUUAUUCAUGUGCCAGAAGCCCCGCUUUUCACAGGGAUCAGACACUGCUGUCAGCUGGUGCAUGUGCGUGUGUGUGCGUGUGCGUGUGCGUGUGUGCUGACCGGCACCACGUGACCACGUGAGGGAUUCCCCGCUGGGAGGAAGGACGGGCCUGGUUCUCCUGAACCGCAGGAGCAGGAGCAGGUGCGCGGGGGGAAGAACUGUCGUCCGGGGGGACACAGACAUGGGAUGUCAGAGGGAGCGCUGAUGGCCGUGUGGGAAGCAACCAGUCGAUGUGUCUCUCACACGUCAAUGUUUCUCUCUCCGAGUGGUGGCCUCCCGCACGUCCGUGCCCCAACCAGGCCCGGGGAUGGAAGCCGCCACGGAGGUGCGUGCCCGUGACCUGGAAUCGAACCUGAGACUCUUCGAUGCGUGGGCCGACGCUCUAACCACUGAGCUACACUGGCCAGGGCCCUGCAAAGAGAGGACCGAGCCCGCCCGCCCGCGUGGCGCGAGGCCACCUUAUCGAGCUGGUGCCACGAUGCCAAGUGGAUGAUUAAUUGCCUCCCAGGAGGUGAUGGGCACGGAUGCAGGAUGCAGAAGGAACCCAGGGCUGAUGGGGGUGCCGCUCCCACGAACACGUGGGGAACCCGAAGCCCCAAGCAACGCCGCUGAUGGGAAGAAAUGACAGCUGGCCCCGCCACUAGGUCCCCUGAUGGCACUUUUCAACCCCGGAGAGAACCCUUCAGCGUCACCAAACUUCGAAAGACGACGCCGUACACCCGGCGGGAAUGUAAAACAGCCUCGAAUGUCAGCGGCAAUUUAAAAGUGAAAUUAAAAAAUGAUUAAAAAGCUGGGAGCACGUGCGUGUACAUCGCAGCGUUUACAAGGCACCGGCAUUUGCAUUCUGCGCAGAGAGGGUGUCUUGGUGGUCCGCGGCGGCGACGGCAGGCUUUGCAGGGAGGGACCGGGAUGUGCUACCCGUUACUUAUUAAAACAAUGAGAUGCGCGUUGAAUAAAACAUGCCGACAGCCCCGAGGUCGGGAGCCCGGGGGUCCAGCAACGGUGGCUGCGAGCGCGUCCCAUCCUGCCUCCCGCCUGGAACGUGUCCUGAGAAGCCAGGUGAGCCCGGCCGCCGGCGUGACUCAGGGGUUGAGCAUCGACCUAGGAACCAGGAGGUCAGGGUUCCAUUCCCCGUCAGGUCACAGGCCCGGGUUGUGGGCUCCGUCCCCAGUGGGGGGGGGAUGCAGGGAGCAACCGAUUCGUGAUUCUCUCUCAUCAUGGAUGUUUCUAUCACUCUCCCUUCCUCUCUCUGAAAUCAAUAAAGAUAUCCUAUAUAAUAAAAGGGUAAUAUGCAAAUUGUCCCCUCGACUGGGAGUUUGACUGGAGUUUGACCAGGCGGUGGGACCGGCCCGCCCUGCCCCUAGUUGGCCCUCCACACCCUGAUUCUGGGCAGAGCCGGCCCACCAACCAACCUCUCACAUUUCCUCCCCAGCCGACCCGGCCGAUCGGCCCAGAUGGGGCGGGCCGGCCAGACCCCACCCGUGUGUGAAUCCAUGCACCGGGCCUCUCGUAUAUAAAAUAAAAAGCCAGGUGACACCCCUCCCCAGCCCCUCCGGUGACCAGUCCACUCUCAGGAGGCUCCGGGCUGCCUGCACCCCCCGCGUCCCUCCUGAGGCGGAACCCAGGCUGUCUCCGUGUUUGCACCAGACAGACAGGGCUCCGGAGACCCCGGGGGGCCCGGCAAGCCGGACCCAGGACAUUGGUUUAACCUGAAAGGACAGCUGACGCGGCCACCGGCACCAGGAGAGCUCAAGGCCUUAAGGAACAAGAUGACGAAGGCGGCGAGCGGUGAACGGACUGGGCCACGCACGCCCCACGGAGCGAGGCAGGCAUGUGGGACCAGGGGCUUGUC